RNAcentral lists this long non-coding RNA (1079 nucleotides) under Homo sapiens (human). Its description in RNAcentral is "HSALNT0010238". The record is from RNAcentral. Lineage: Eukaryota; Metazoa; Chordata; Mammalia; Primates; Hominidae.
GACCCUGUCUCAAGAAAAAAAAGCCAGCAUCGAAAAUGGAGACUGAAAGCCUGCCAUUGUUUGUUGUUGCUGUUAACAGAUGAUCCAGGUAUUCUGGUGAUGCUACUUGUGCCGCAUGGUUAUCCUGAACACGUUUUUUCACUGUAUUGAUGGUAACUUGCUGUCUCUCGCAUGUGGUUAGGGAUUUCUGACAGUGAAUUACUUGAUCUUAAUCUGUGGAAUCUGAUAGUCCCAACCUGGAGAAGCUUCCAUCCAGAGAAUAUUUCCUUCCACUGUCAGGGAAAGAGUGACAUGCAAACUAAAAUAUGAACUCGUCUACAGGAUUUAAGCACAGAAGAUAAGUCCUGAUGCUAUUGCAAGGUUUGCUAUCCUCAAAAUUGUGUUGCUAGAGAAAUCUAUCCUUGGUAACCCCACUUCUCUUGGGUGCCUGCAUUUUCAAAACCUGCUCCUUGCCAUUGUGACUCCUAUCUUUUCCAACUUCCUGCUACUCUGCCAUACUCUGUAGACUCAGCUUCCAGUUCUCUCAAUAUUCCUACUUUUGUGCUUGAGCACUCCCACUCUAACUCUUAGGUGCUGAAGCCCUAACUUGUCCAGACUCUGCUCAAGUUUGUUUGCUUGUUUUGGGGUGAAGGGUUGCCAGAGACCACUCUUACCUUUAUUGAGAUCAUCAAUACCUCAAAUUACGUAUCUUAUUGACGGUCUUCCACUAAUUUUAUAUGUAUAUGUAUACAUAUUAUUUUUAAUAACUUUAAAGCCUCUACCCAUCAUACUAAUGUAUAAAGCCAGUAUCUCAGAAAAACCCUAGACCUCAAAAGAUGGCUGGAAGGUAAAUAAGAAUUCUAAAUUUAAAUUAAGGUUAUGAUCUGUGGAUUAGUAUUUGCUUCUUUGGAUUUUUCAUACUUACUCCUUCAGUGGCUUUGGGAAUACUGGCAGUACUUGCAAAAAUCUUGUUAGACUUGAAUCUGUACAGCAGAUUUACCAAGUCAAUAUAUGAUUGCAAUUUCCAUUAUGUCCUCAAUUUGUGUUACAGGGAGAGCAUGGAUCAUUUUAUAUUUCUAAAAUAUUCCAUUUGUAAUUUU